UACGAACCGGACAAACGUUAUUCGGAUUCACUGGGCUUAAAGAGUGCGUAGGCGGUCUACCAAGUUGGGUGUGAAAUCCCUCGGCUCAACCGAGGAAUUGCGCUCAAAACUGGCAGACUCGAGGAAGGCAGGGGUAAGCGGAACUGAUGGUGGAGCGGUGAAAUGCGUUGAUAUCAUCAGGAACACCAGUGGCGAAGGCGGCUUACUGGGCCUUUUCUGACGCUGAGGCACGAAAGCUAGGGUAGCGAACGGG
Molecule: ribosomal RNA, 253 nt
Filed under: uncultured bacterium
Lineage: Bacteria
Also listed under: 1 other name
Description: partial 16S ribosomal RNA
Rfam family: Bacterial small subunit ribosomal RNA
Source: RNAcentral